UACGUAGGGAGCAAGCGUUGUCCGGAAUCAUUGGGCGUAAAGAGCGCGCAGGCGGUCGAUCAAGUCGAGUGUGAAAGCCCCCGGCUCAACUGGGGAGGGUCAUUCGAUACUGAUCGACUCGAAGGCAGGAGAGGGUAGUGGAAUUCCCGGUGUAGUGGUGAAAUGCGUAGAUAUCGGGAGGAACACCAGUGGCGAAGGCGACUACCUGGCCUGUUCUUGACGCUGAGGCGCGAAAGCGUGGGGAGCAAACAGG
RNAcentral lists this ribosomal RNA (253 nucleotides) under uncultured bacterium. RNAcentral describes it as "partial 16S ribosomal RNA". It matches the Rfam family "Bacterial small subunit ribosomal RNA", at positions 524 to 776 of the family's 1533-position model. The record is from RNAcentral.